RNAcentral lists this ribosomal RNA (472 nucleotides) under uncultured bacterium. RNAcentral describes it as "partial 16S ribosomal RNA". It matches the Rfam family "Bacterial small subunit ribosomal RNA", at positions 28 to 507 of the family's 1533-position model. The record is from RNAcentral.
GACGAACGCUGGCGGCGUGCUUAACACCUGCAAGUCGAACGCUGAAGCUUGGUGCUUGCACUGGGUGGAUGAGUGGCGAACGGGUGAGUAAUACGUGAGUAACCUGCCCUUGACUCUGGGAUAAGCCUGGGAAACUGGGUCUAAUACUGGAUACGACAUGUCACCGCAUGGUGGUGUGUGGAAAGGGUUUUACUGGUUUUGGAUGGGCUCACGGCCUAUCAGCUUGUUGGUGGGGUAAUGGCUCACCAAGGCGACGACGGGUAGCCGGCCUGAGAGGGUGACCGGCCACACUGGGACUGAGACACGGCCCAGACUCCUACGGGAGGCAGCAGUGGGGAAUAUUGCACAAUGGGCGGAAGCCUGAUGCAGCGACGCCGCGUGAGGGAUGACGGCCUUCGGGUUGUAAACCUCUUUCAGCACGGAAGAAGCGAAAGUGACGGUACGUGCAGAAGAAGCGCCGGCUAACUACGUG